RNAcentral lists this ribosomal RNA (468 nucleotides) under uncultured bacterium. RNAcentral describes it as "partial 16S ribosomal RNA". It matches the Rfam family "Bacterial small subunit ribosomal RNA", at positions 28 to 507 of the family's 1533-position model. The record is from RNAcentral.
GACGAACGCUGGCGGCGUGCUUAACACAUGCAAGUCGAACGGAAAGGCCCUGCUUUUGUGGGGUGCUCGAGUGGCGAACGGGUGAGUAACAUGUGAGUAACCUGCCCUUGACUUUGGGAUAACUUCAGGAAACUGGGGCUAAUACCGGAUAGGAGCUCCUGCUGCAUGGUGGGGGUUGGAAAGUUUCGGCGGUUGGGGAUGGACUCGCGGCUUAUCAGCUUGUUGGUGGGGUAGUGGCUUACCAAGGCUUUGACGGGUAGCCGGCCUGAGAGGGUGACCGGCCACAUUGGGACUGAGAUACGGCCCAGACUCCUACGGGAGGCGGCAGUGGGGAAUAUUGCACAAUGGGCGGAAGCCUGAUGCAGCAACGCCGCGUGCGGGAUGACGGCCUUCGGGUUGUAAACCGCUUUCGCCUGCGACGAAGCGUGAGUGACGGUAAUGGGUAAAGAAGCACCGGCUAACUACGUG